This 710-nucleotide ribosomal RNA is filed under the name Lysinibacillus fusiformis. Its description in RNAcentral is "bacterial SSU rRNA". It matches the Rfam family "Bacterial small subunit ribosomal RNA", at positions 61 to 752 of the family's 1533-position model. The record is from RNAcentral. Lineage: Bacteria; Bacillati; Bacillota; Bacilli; Caryophanales; Bacillaceae.
GUCGAGCGAACAGAGAAGGAGCUUGCUCCUUCGACGUUAGCGGCGGACGGGUGAGUAACACGUGGGCAACCUACCUUAUAGUUUGGGAUAACUCCGGGAAACCGGGGCUAAUACCGAAUAAUCUGUUUCACCUCAUGGUGAAACACUGAAAGACGGUUUCGGCUGUCGCUAUAGGAUGGGCCCGCGGCGCAUUAGCUAGUUGGUGAGGUAACGGCUCACCAAGGCGACGAUGCGUAGCCGACCUGAGAGGGUGAUCGGCCACACUGGGACUGAGACACGGCCCAGACUCCUACGGGAGGCAGCAGUAGGGAAUCUUCCACAAUGGGCGAAAGCCUGAUGGAGCAACGCCGCGUGAGUGAAGAAGGAUUUCGGUUCGUAAAACUCUGUUGUAAGGGAAGAACAAGUACAGUAGUAACUGGCUGUACCUUGACGGUACCUUAUUAGAAAGCCACGGCUAACUACGUGCCAGCAGCCGCGGUAAUACGUAGGUGGCAAGCGUUGUCCGGAAUUAUUGGGCGUAAAGCGCGCGCAGGUGGUUUCUUAAGUCUGAUGUGAAAGCCCACGGCUCAACCGUGGAGGGUCAUUGGAAACUGGGAGACUUGAGUGCAGAAGAGGAUAGUGGAAUUCCAAGUGUAGCGGUGAAAUGCGUAGAGAUUUGGAGGAACACCAGUGGCGAAGGCGACUAUCUGGUCUGUAACUGACACUGAGGC